Molecule: ribosomal RNA, 117 nt
Filed under: Candidatus Eiseniibacteriota bacterium
Lineage: Bacteria; Candidatus Eiseniibacteriota
Source: RNAcentral
UCCGGUGGCAAUGGCGGAGGGGCCACACCCGUUCCCAUUUCGAACACGGUCGUUAAGCCCUCCUGCGCCGAUGGUACUGCACCUGUGAGGGUGUGGGAGAGUAGGUCGCCGCCGGAG